UCCGAGGGCCGUGACUGGCGCACGGGUGGAGCACCACCGGGGAGCGGCCGCCGCACCGUUGCCGCGCGCCUGGGCGAACUCG
This 82-nucleotide non-coding RNA is filed under the name Kitasatospora setae. Its description in RNAcentral is "ZTP sequence". It matches the Rfam family "ZMP/ZTP riboswitch aptamer (pfl RNA motif)". From Rfam's summary of the family: Previously known as pfl RNA. ZMP is also known as AICAR. RNAcentral also lists the same sequence under 1 other name. The record is from RNAcentral. Lineage: Bacteria; Bacillati; Actinomycetota; Actinomycetes; Kitasatosporales; Streptomycetaceae.